Long non-coding RNA from Vicia villosa (hairy vetch), 384 nucleotides. RefSeq lists it as uncharacterized. The transcript has 3 exons. The record is from RefSeq and is a predicted model, not a curated record. NCBI's taxonomy places the organism in Eukaryota, Viridiplantae, Streptophyta, Magnoliopsida, Fabales, Fabaceae.
GGUUUAGAUCUGUGUAUUUGUUCAUCUCCACGACUGUUUUUAUAAAUCAAAUUAUUUCAUCCCUUUUCUCUGCUAUAUAUUGAAUCAAAUUAAGGCUACAUCAUAUAGGAUUUCAUCUCAGUAGCCAGAAAGGAUUUAGACUUGAUCGGGUUUUACCGCUGACUUUUGAAUCUAACAGGAGGAUGAAGUGAAAGAAAGAGCAAAAAGAGAUGCAGCUGCUAGCAAAUGAAGGGAAUACUCAUGGAAAAGUGAUUGGAACCGGCACUGUGUUUGAAUUUUUGAAUUUGUGCAUACAAAUAUAUGGUGAUAUCGGUUUUUAAAUGCACUAAAUUGAAUUAGAUGUAUGUACAUACCUUUGUUUUUCUCUAAUUUGGCUUGAACUGG